CAAAACCCUCUUCCUAUUUGUAGUUUGAACAUGACAGCAAACGACGCCGUUCUCCUCCGCUUCUCCAUACCAUCCGAUACUCUCGCACCGUCGCCUUCACCAACCCAAUCCUCAAACCAAUUUCAUCACCCCCACUCUCUCCUAAACGACCUCGUCUUUAUAAUAGAAUCAGGCGACUCUCAAGCCCUAUUUUCCUAUAAAUAAUUUCUUGUGAUUGCCAUCGCGGUUGCUUCUUUGCUUCUCUUCAAUCUGUCUAACUUUACUGGGCCAUUGGUUAACAUUCCUUUAUGUCGCUUGAAAAAUUGUCGGUCCUUGAGUAUAUGAAUGGACGGAAUGGGAAACAUGGGCACAACAGGAACUCAUGUCUGUUGGUGGUUCUGACCUUUGUGCAAAAUUCUCUAACUUGCAUGUAUAUGUAGCCUUGAUUCUUCAAAUUGUUUUACUCUUUGAAUUAAAUAAUGAAUUUGGGUCGUUGGAAAGAAUGAUGCUCGAGAUUGAAGGACGCAUAGUGAUUAGUCAGUCAGAGUCUUAUGCGCCAAAUAGUGAUAGCAGUCAUACUGACCCUAUCAGUGUUGUAGCUUAAAUGUUGCUUAUGCCUACGGAACAAAUGGUUUGAAAAUUGACUCCACCAGAAGUCGGGAAGCCACCUGAUUGAAUUGAUUGGGACAAUCUUCAGACAGAUUGUUCAAGGUGGCACAAGCUGAAAGGAGAUCUAGCAAUGUGCUCUGAGGCUCUACUUAAGCAAGUUAGAUCAUACCAAGGAUUUGAUUUGUAGAAAGACAAGGAUCGGUUUGUGGAAUUUGCAAAUGCAUCCUUGGACCUGUGCAAGGUGUAUCAGGAACUUGCUUUGCGUGGCAAUAGCCGUAGAGAAAUGUUUGCUGCCGAGAUGCAAUUGAAGCAAGCUAUAGAUCUUUCUAGCACUAGAGAAUAUAGAGAUCUUGUAGCUUGCCUUGAAGACAUACAAAGGGCACUGAAAGCUACAUAGUUGCCUGGUUCACGAAGCCUUCACUCAGCCUUUCUUGUUAGAUUGAUUCUCUGUAUGAUAUACGUGCUCAUGUGUGAGUGGAAGGGUAAGAUGGUGUGAAAUGGUGCUCAUUGGCUCAAGCUUGGGUUACGCUUAAAACUUUUACUUAAACAGAGUGCUUUUGUUUUAUGUAUGCAUUAGCUUGAGCUUCAGUAGUGUCUUAUAUGGAAUGCAGUCUAGAUUAACUUGCAAGACUUAAUGAGAUUCUUCAGAAGGAAUGAGAUUGUACAAUGAUCACUUGUAGAUUCAUAAUUUAGACAUGGUUUUGGCAUGUGAUGAAUAUCUUAUGAUUUUGAUGUCUUCCUCAUCAAUGCUCAGUUAGUGCAGUCUUAUAAAUGCUGUCAAAGCCCCGUGAAGAGACUUCCUUUCGGAAGCUGACCUGUGACUGAGCCUGUGUGAGCAGAAGGUUCCCACCAAAUAUAACACCAUAUACAUAUGUAAGAAAAGUUGGAAUCAGGAGAAAAAUGCUCCACUUAUUCCAUAAAUGUGAGAUAUAAGAGCAUCUCCAAUGGCGGACUUCCCGUCUCCCUUCGGAGAGGCUUCCGGGAAGUCUGUCGGGGAAGGGUGCUAUUGUGGCACGGAGAGGAGGACGCCGACGUCCCGUGAGGACAUGGGAAGGACGGGCGGACGUCCGCCGGGGAUGUCCGUCCGCGCGGGAAUGACAGAUUGUGCAGUGGGAAGUCCUUACGACGUGGCAGGAGGGUGAGAAGUCCUUAUGACGUGGCAGGAGGUGUAUUUGGGAAGGGCGACGGGAAUGGCAUUGGGGAAGUCCGCCCAUUGGAGAUGCUCGAUACCAAAUUCUUUGUACGUUGGAUUUUCUUCAAAUCAUUUUCUGCGAAUCGACACCAACACCUUUGGACAAAGGAAUCUGUCCCUACGCAUUUUAUCUUGUGUUGGAGAAACUUUGCAUUACAUUUUAGAUUUGAUCAUGAUCAACCCAAUUAUAAAUAUAAACAUAAAUA
Salvia hispanica is the source of this 1986-nucleotide long non-coding RNA. RefSeq lists it as uncharacterized. The record is from RefSeq and is a predicted model, not a curated record. Lineage: Eukaryota; Viridiplantae; Streptophyta; Magnoliopsida; Lamiales; Lamiaceae.